AGAAAGCAGUAAAUCCAAAGAAGAGGAAAGCAACUGCUGAUGAUGUUUAUGAGCUACAGAUACUGUAUUUGAAGGGAGAAAUGGCAAAGCAGACUAAAGAGAUGAGGAAAUUAGAUCUUCAGAUAGAGUUGCUGGAAGAAAUGAAACGAGACAAAGAGAAUACUCCACUAACAUUUUCUCAACUUUUAAUGAAUUAAAUUAUUUAUUUUUCUUAUCAA
Molecule: long non-coding RNA, 218 nt
Organism: Mytilus californianus (California mussel)
Lineage: Eukaryota; Metazoa; Mollusca; Bivalvia; Mytilida; Mytilidae
Exons: 2
Source: RefSeq, a predicted model, not a curated record